UAAUCUGUUUGGAGCAAUUCUCCUCUAGUUAUAACAGGUCUUUAAUUGAUUGUUAAGAAUCACUUGUUAUCACAGGUUCUACGUCAAGUUUGCAUGGAUGAGACAUAGCUAUUGAGCUCUACCUCGUCAAAAC
This is a non-coding RNA of Populus trichocarpa (black cottonwood), 133 nucleotides long. The record is from Rfam. Lineage: Eukaryota; Viridiplantae; Streptophyta; Magnoliopsida; Malpighiales; Salicaceae.